Molecule: ribosomal RNA, 526 nt
Filed under: Vibrio vulnificus
Lineage: Bacteria; Pseudomonadati; Pseudomonadota; Gammaproteobacteria; Vibrionales; Vibrionaceae
Description: bacterial SSU rRNA
Rfam family: Bacterial small subunit ribosomal RNA
Source: RNAcentral
AGCAGUGGGGAAUAUUGCACAAUGGGCGCAAGCCUGAUGCAGCCAUGCCGCGUGUGUGAAGAAGGCCUUCGGGUUGUAAAGCACUUUCAGUUGUGAGGAAGGUGGUGUUGUUAAUAGCAGCAUCAUUUGACGUUAGCAACAGAAGAAGCACCGGCUAACUCCGUGCCAGCAGCCGCGGUAAUACGGAGGGUGCGAGCGUUAAUCGGAAUUACUGGGCGUAAAGCGCAUGCAGGUGGUUUGUUAAGUCAGAUGUGAAAGCCCGGGGCUCAACCUCGGAACUGCAUUUGAAACUGGCAGACUAGAGUACUGUAGAGGGGGGUAGAAUUUCAGGUGUAGCGGUGAAAUGCGUAGAGAUCUGAAGGAAUACCGGUGGCGAAGGCGGCCCCCUGGACAGAUACUGACACUCAGAUGCGAAAGCGUGGGGAGCAAACAGGAUUAGAUACCCUGGUAGUCCACGCUGUAAACGAUGUCUACUUGGAGGUUGUGGCCUUGAGCCGUGGCUUUCGGAGCUAACGCGUUAAGUAGA